AUUGAACGCUGGCGGCAUGCUUUACACAUGCAAGUCGAACGGCAGCACGAAAGAGCUUGCUCUUUUGGUGGCGAGUGGCGAACGGGUGAGUAAUGCAUCGGAACGUACCGAGUAAUGGGGGAUAACUGUCCGAAAGGAUAGCUAAUACCGCAUACGCUUUGAGAAGGAAAGUGGGGGCUCUUCGGACCUCACGUUAUUCGAGCGGCCGAUGUCUGAUUAGCUAGUUGGUGGGGUAAAGGCCUACCAAGGCGACGAUCAGUAGCGGGUCUGAGAGGAUGAUCCGCCACACUGGGACUGAGACACGGCCCAGACUCCUACGGGAGGCAGCAGUGGGGAAUUUUGGACAAUGGGCGCUAGCCUGAUCCAGCCAUGCCGCGUGUCUGAAGAAGGCCUUCGGGUUGUAAAGGACUUUUGUUAGGGAAGAAAAGGAUAGUGUUAAUACCAUUAUCUGCUGACGGUACCUAAAGAAUAAGCACCGGCUAACUACGUG
This 490-nucleotide ribosomal RNA is filed under the name uncultured bacterium. RNAcentral's name for it is "partial 16S ribosomal RNA". It matches the Rfam family "Bacterial small subunit ribosomal RNA", at positions 30 to 507 of the family's 1533-position model. The record is from RNAcentral.